RNAcentral lists this ribosomal RNA (1058 nucleotides) under uncultured fungus. RNAcentral describes it as "eukaryotic LSU rRNA". The stretch from base 473 to 1058 matches the Rfam family "Eukaryotic large subunit ribosomal RNA", at positions 1 to 598 of the family's 3401-position model. Lineage: Eukaryota; Fungi. The record is from RNAcentral.
UCAUUACAGGACUCGCAAGACUCCCGUAAACCACUGNUGAACUUACCGACAACCCGUUGCCUCGGCGGGUGCUCCAGGGCUUCGUGCCCCGGGGCGCUACGCCCGCCGGUGGCCCCAAACUCUUUGUCUCUCGCGUUGGCAUCUCCGAGUUUUUUUAAACGAGUCAAAACUUUCAACAACGGAUCUCUUGGUUCUGGCAUCGAUGAAGAACGCAGCGAAAUGCGAUAAGUAAUGUGAAUUGCAGAAUUCAGUGAAUCAUCGAAUCUUUGAACGCACAUUGCGCCCGCCAGUAUUCUGGCGGGCAUGCCUGUCCGAGCGUCAUUUCAACCCUCAGGCCCCGCCUGGCGUUGGAGCCCUGCGCCUGCAGGCUCCCAAAGACAGCGGCGGGCGCGCCCCGGAACUGAGCGUAGUAAUUCUUCUCGUUCUAGUUCGUGGCGUGUUCCGGCCGUAAAACCCCCUAUUUUUUAGUGGUUGACCUCGGAUCAGGUAGGAAUACCCGCUGAACUUAAGCAUAUCAAUAAGCGGAGGAAAAGAAACCAACAGGGAUUGCCUCAGUAACGGCGAGUGAAGCGGCAACAGCUCAAAUUUGAAAUCUGGCCCCCCGGCCCGAGUUGUAAUUUGCAGAGGAUGCUUCUGGUGCGGUGCCUUCCAAGUCCCCUGGAACGGGGCGCCAUAGAGGGUGAGAGCCCCGUCAGGUCGGCCGCCAAUCCUGUGUGAAGCUCCUUCGACGAGUCGAGUAGUUUGGGAAUGCUGCUCUAAAUGGGAGGUAGACCCCUUCUAAAGCUAAAUAUUGGCCAGAGACCGAUAGCGCACAAGUAGAGUGAUCGAAAGAUGAAAAGCACUUUGAAAAGAGGGUUAAACAGUACGUGAAAUUGUUGAAAGGGAAGCGCUUGUGACCAGACGUGCACCGGGUGUUCAGCGGGCGUUCUCGCCCGUGCAUUCGCCCCGGUGCAGGCCAGCGUCGGUUCGGGUGGGGGGAUAAAGGUGUCAGGAACGUGGCUCCCCCGGGAGUGUUAUAGCCUGGCGCGUCAUGCCCCCGCCUGGACCGAGGUUCGCGC